This 386-nucleotide unclassified non-coding RNA is filed under the name uncultured Verrucariales. Its description in RNAcentral is "sequence contains ITS2". The stretch from base 1 to 154 matches the Rfam family "5.8S ribosomal RNA". Lineage: Eukaryota; Fungi; Ascomycota; Eurotiomycetes; Verrucariales. The record is from RNAcentral.
AACUUUCGACAAUGGAUCACUUGGCUCUCGCAUCGAUGAAGAACGCAGCGAAAUGCGAUAAGUAAUCUGAAUUGCAGAAUUCAGUGAGUCAUCGAAUCUUUGAACGCAGAUUGCGCCCUUUGGUAUUCCGAAGGGCAUGCCUGUUCGAGCGUCAUUAUCAACCAUCAAGCCUAGCUUGUAGUUGGACCUCUUUUUGCGACUGAAAUAUGCCGCAGGUCCGAAAGAUAAUGACGGUGUCGUGUUUGACCCUAGAUGCAACGAGCUUUUUUAUAGCACGCAUUGAAGUGGUCGAACCGACCCGGUCUUAACCAUCAUUUUUUCUUAAGAUUGACCUCGGAUCAGGUAGGAAUACCCGCUGAACUUAAGCAUAUCAAUAAGCGGAGGCU